AUUCAAAACACGUGGCAUAGAUCAGUUUAUUACUACCUAUCAUUCAUAGAUUCUCAGGAGGGAGACAGGUUAAUAAACAAAACAGAUGAGCAAAACAUAUAUGUCAAGUGAUACUUUUUAUGGAGAAGUAUAAAUCAGAGGGCUUAGGAAUUUUAAAUAGGAGGUGCUGUGGUCAGAAUAUUUGCAUCCCCCAAAUUCGUAUGUCGAAACAAUGGCCAAAGGAAGGGUGGUAGGAGGUGGGGCUUUGGGAAGGUGGUUAGGUCAUGGGCAUGGAGCCUUCAGAAAUGAGGUCAGCCAUCUUAGAAAAGAUGGCCAACCAGCUGGCAGGGUGUGAGGUCACCAUGUGAGGUCACAGCCAGAGGGCACUGUCACCAGACACCACACCUGCACCUCUUAGGUCUUGGACUUCUCAGCCUCCUGAACCGGGAAAUAAGCUCCUGCUGUUUGUAAGCUACACAGUCUACGGGGUUUUGUUACAGCAACUAAAGCACAUUAAGGUAGAAGAGAGGCUGAAAAGGUGACGUCUGUGUAAUGACCUGAAGGAGGAGCAUGAUGAGCCACAGACGUCAGAGGAGGAGCCUUCCAGCAAGGGCGGGGGGAGGGACUGUGCCCGCUGAGGUGAGGGCACAGUGAGGAGGCCAGAGGGAGGGAGCUGUGCCUGAGGAGAGAGGUGUGAAGAAGCCACAAGGAGAGAAAGAAUUUAGCCCAAAGAGGGCAAACUCUUGCAGCAGAGGAGCUGUGAUCCUCUUUGGCAUGGCAGUGGAUUAGCACAGCAGGACAAGACCGAGUGGUAGCCAGAGCAUCCAGAAUCAGGACUUUGUUUUCCUGAAAGGCCACGCACAUCUCUAAGCAUCGUGCAACCCGUUCAAGGCUCUGGGAGGAAGCAGGCUUGGUAGGAAGUCAUCCACAUGAAGUCCAUUAGCUGCGGAGUUCAGCAGGUAGAAACAAAUGAAUCGUGCCUGAUGGCUCCCGGCCGCUCCCUGUGGCCCUGACCUUCCAAGCCCUCAUUUCAGCAGCUUGCACACUCACGCUCCUUCCUCCCAGUUCAUUUCAUUCCGCCACGGACACAUGCACUGAAUCUUCAGAUGAGUCCAAUAACAAAUCACAGUGCACGCCUCAAUAAAUACUCCUGGGUGCGGAUUGUGCGCAGGGCACCGUGCUACUCAGGAUACAAGGGAGCCAGCCAGUCUGCCUUCUCAAUCUUUUCCUUAAGAUGUGUGGCGCUGUUUUGAUCUCUGUUUACUAUUUCUAACACUGAGUUGUGGGGGUAUUGGCCAGAGGUGAGUAUGAGGCGGAUAUGCAGAGGUAAGGAACUUCUGCAGUCACAUGUCCCAACGCUCCCCUCCCCAUGAAUGGUUAGAGUUUGCAAGAUAGCUUAUAGUCACACGUUCCAACCGCCCCCCGCUACACACAGACGUGCAUGGUUAGAGAUUGCAAGAUAGCUUAUAGGGCCACAAGUCCAAGUGGGAUUAAACACACUGCCUUAAGGAGUGAAUGCUCUAGAUUUUGUCUUCCCAGUACUCCGAUUUACCAUUUAGAUUGGUCCCAAAGUCAGUCAUGGAACAGACCACCUUGACCUUCCCCUAACUCCUACGUGAGUUCCUGCCCAGAUGCCCUUCAUUUCUCUUUUAUCCUUGUUUCCUGGUUCUAUCAAUAAAAGGCCACAGAGGGUUUAGUUUGGGGUUGUCAUUUGAAACUUUCUCACACUGAGGCAUCUUGGUUAACGGCGGCCCCUCUGGGCCCUCGUGGAGUGCGGAUUGGACACUGACUCCCAGUAAUCCUUUGUUUCAUCCUCUUGCAGGGAACCACAGUCGCGAGCUGUGACAAGUGGCGCCCUGUGAGGCACCUGUGAGGAAUAUAUGAGGACUAAGUUGGUGCAACUCAGUGAGAGCACUGACCUCCCAAAAUCUGGAAAAGGAACAAAGACGUCCAACUUCACAUCCCCGUAAGCUAAGGGCACAAAGGCGGCCAUGGCGUAGCUUGGCACGUCUCCAUGAGGUCACAGGUUAGGCUUAUCAGCCCAGAGGCCUGUCCAACUGCUAAGUGAGUAGGGGCAGUUCGUUUGUUCUUUUUGCUGUUUUACUUCUGUUCACAUGAUAUGGGUCACACUUUAUCCAAAGAGGACGUCUCUUGUUUCUGAACCUCACCUUAUUACAUUACUGAUCAUUAUUUGACAAUAACAUCCAUGUUUCCCCCUAGAGGACAGCCUGGAGGUGGAGCACUGGGAACACGUGGGUCAAAAAUUGAGGCAGUCAUUAGGUCCUGUAAAAGAUGCUAUCUGGCAUCUUUGCAAGGUUGCUAUUCUAGUCCAUCUACUCAAGCAAAAAGUUUCCCCUAAAAUGAUUUCCUCCUCCUCCCUCAGCUUCCUCUGAAAACCACCUUCUGCUUCCGACCCUCUAGGUGAACAAGAGAAAUGUUGGGGGGCGGGGGAGCUCUAAAAUUGUAAUACCACGUGCCAACUGGAAUUACUUUUUAAAAGUAAUAAAAAUAGAAAAUAAAACAGAAAAAAAAAAAACAGAAAAAGAAGAUAAAAUAGGAAAAGAAAAGGAAAACAAAAAUUUAAAAAAAGGAAAGAAAGCUAAAUACAAUGAAAAUCAAGCCAGCAAGGUAUGCUAAAUUGGGAAAAAUUUGUCAGGAAAAAGGAAUCCCCAUCAGUAUUUUUUACCAAGGCUCAAGCACACACAUAUAUGAGCCCAAAACUAUAAAGCUUAAAAGAGCAUCUGCAAUCUGUCCUUCGAUUUUCUUACUCCCUUCUCUGUAGCUCUCAGAAAGUUGAAGGGCAGUCAGGUUCUCUGAUUAGCGAUUUAAAUUUCUGUUUGGCAAUCUGGUUGGAUUUAAUCCAUACGUUAUGCUCCAGGGCGUGUCCCUUCUCAGUGGCUGCUGCGUUAGGAUUGAUAUCCAGGGGUGGUGGUUUCCCCUCUCAGCUGACUUUCACUUGUCUCUGUUCCAUAUUCUUAAAAGAAUGGUCUGGAUUUGAUCCUUGAACCCUCCAAAAGUAAGUGUAAAUGUUUUAGUCCAAGUUUAUUGGACUUUCUAUCCUCAGGCAGAACUAGAAGUUAACUCACUUUCCUCUCCUUCAGGAAUGCUGCUCCAGGAGACAGACCGACUUGUUUUUAUGGCACAGAUAUUUUCAUUGAUGAAACUAAAAAUAUUCAUAGGGAUACUUUUGAAUUUAUUAACAGUUUUAAAUAAAAACGGGUCUAUUCCAAUAAGAUAAACUGUUAGCAUAAAUCCCUUCUUAGUAACAGUCUUUGCUUUCACAAGUGUAAAAGGGUCUUUUCCUUCUAACUCAUUGCAAGAGAUUUCUGCUAAUUGAUAACCUAUAGGAAAAGUUCUGACUAGCCUGCUUAUAGUUACAAAACUAGGGGCUGGGGAUUUAGCUCAGCGGCAAGUGCCUGCCUGGCAAGUGCAAGGUUGUGAGUUCGAUUCCUGGUACCGGAAAACAAACAAACAAACAAACAAACAAAAAAAGCUAAACCCUACAAAAGGGUUACUGGAAUUCAACUUGGGCAGUAUAUCUAAGAGUGCACUCUGGUUUAAAAACAACCAUCUUUUGUGUUUGUAUGUUUGUGCAUUUGUCUGUUUAAUGUGUGUAAGUUAAAGCACCUGCUUCAUUUAAGAGGAAUUUAUUUUGAGCUCAACAAUUUUUAUUUUUCAGAUUAUUUUUGAGAUUUCUAUGGAGAGACCAUUUAUAUUACAGUAGGACUUAGAACAAAAAAGUCAAGUUUUGACAACCUAAGCAAAUUCCUCCUUAUACCCUUCUCCAAAGUCACAAAACUGUCAUUGCUCGAUUAACUGCCUGUUUCUCUCCUGUAAACUCGCUUGCCCACCCACCAGUUUUGAGGCACUGGAUAGACCAAUCCCUUCAACCACAUGCAUAAAACCACAGCCCUUUCUUUGUUCAGGGCUCAGCCUUUGAACACGAGUCUGCUGAGCCUGUGUGCACCUAAAUAAAUCCUCCUGUUUCACCUGUUGGUCUCUCCAGUGUCUUAAAAUUCUGCAACAUUUCCUGGGGGCUCGCCUGGUACUGGAGAUGACAGUCUUGCUGUUUCCUUUGCCUAUAGCCCAGGCCCUCAGCUAAGGGAGACCCCAAGAUCCCUGGAGCCACCAGGUGAGACUUGAAUUCAGAGAGGGAACUGACUCUCCUGUAGCCUGGAGUCCCUCCCUGUCAACAGAACCUGAGGGGCUACAGGAUGAUUCUGGAACAGCGUGCUGCAGGACUACAGUAAGGUUUUGGGCCUGAGGAAUGACUCAUCCUACAAGAGUGGAAGGGGAGCCUGAUCACCUCCUGGGGUUGGGGUGCUGAGUAAUCUGAGUAAUCUGAGUAAUCCAGGCAAGUUCAGAUGAAACCUGCACCCCAGCUGGGAAAAGGAACCAAAAAUGCUGAGGUUUAUGACUGUGUGUGAAUAACCAGAGUGAAAUUGGUGGGGCUGCAGGUCUCUUAGGAUAGACUGUAUGUCUUGAGCAAGUGUGGGACCGACCUGCACUGGAAGAGCACCCGAGCAACUGGCUGGUCUGGAGUGGGGGCAUAGGGUGGGCAGACUUAGGCCCAGCUGGGCCUGGUGAAGUGGGAGGGAUGAAAUAGGGGUCAUCUUUUUACUUAAGAGAGAGCACUGAGGGAGGCAGUGUGGGGAAGGUGGGAGCCACAAAGUCCCCUUGCCUGGCUGUGCCUAUGGCUGGAUACACAUUGUCCUCAUAGGCGAGAGGCUGGGACCACAGACUUUGGCAGCCUUGGGUCAGAGACACUGUAGCAGGCAGGUGGUGAGCAGCACUCUGGGAGCACUUGGGACCUGAGCAUAAGGACCAUGUGCUGGCCAGAGCCCUGGAGCAGGCAGCUGUGGGCUGUGAGUUCUGUGGGGCGAGGCAGAGAAGCGUGCAUCCACGGUCUCCUUUGCUCGGCUUCUGGAACUUGAGGUUGGUGCUUACUUGGUGUAACCAGCCUGGUGUUGCUUGCAAACAUCUGGAAGCCAGAGCCCAAGGCACUGUGUUCAGGAUCCUAGCCCAUGGAGGCAUGAGAAUUUGUAGGAUCACUGGCUUUGUGUGGAUUGCUGGGGGUCUUUGGUGAGGGGAGAAGAAAUGGGGUCCUUGGUAAAGCUUGGGAAUUGAGGGAGUGCCUGGCUUGAGAAGUAGAGGAUGAAUUUAUAAAAGGGAAGGCAGUCUAAUUGACCUACAGUGAAAGCGGUUGAAAGGUUCCAGUGAUUUGUGAUGUAACAGAGAGGAUAGCGAGGAAAAGCGUCAAAACCCCCACUUAGAAUGUAUGAUAAGGAACUUUAAAAGAGCCUAUAGAGGGGACCGUGGAGUAAAGCUGACCCCCCAGAGAUUGAGAAACUUUUGUGAAGUUGAUUGGUUCUCCUUUGAUGUUGCAUGGCCGGCCCAAAGAACAAUAGGUAGGGGUUCAACUGGGUAUGUAUAUCAGGGGUGAUCUGGACGUAGGACAGCCAGGGCAUUUGUACCAAUUUCCUUAUAUCAACUCAUAGCUGAACAUAGUCCAGACCCAACCUGGUUGGCUACAGCCCUGUCUGGUAGCAUAUUGUAGAACACUCAUGGCUGAGCUGAAUCAAAAGAAAGAGGAAUCGGCCCUGCAGGGAGCCUUGGAGACAAAGGGAUGAAGACAAACUGAUUCUACCAGAGCUACCAGAGGAGGCAGAGAUACUCCCCACUUUACUCCCCAAUCUAUCUUCUCUUGCAGUGCUAGCCUGUGGAGAAAGAGGAUCAAAUGACAAGGAGUUCCAGGCAUCACCUCAGAGGGAAGAACCAGGACCACUGCCCCAGGAGGGGAAUGAGGAAAGCCUGAAUAAUCAAUUGGCUGAAACUGGCAGACCAAGACAAGCGAAUGAGCCAACAGGAUCCAGACCCUCUGAACUGACGGAUCCUAUGGCAAAACCAAGCUGCUGCUGCGAACAGCAGCUCUGCUCUAGUCACCCCAGAAGCUGACCAGUCUACACAUGGCUGAAGCUUGAGGAUCAGCAUGGAGUUACAAUGACAACAUGAGUCUCUUUUACUUUUUGUUCUAAUUCUCCUUUGCCCCUGCUGGGAGAAAAAUCCCUAGAGGGAUGUUCCCCUUGCAUCUAUACCACACAGUCAGGGAGCAUCAUAAUAGGGACCUUGCUCUGUCAUACCUAUUAUGAAUGUACAGGGACACAGUGGGGAACUUGUACUCAUAAUCAAACCGCCCACUCAGUUUGUGACCCAGGAGAUAACCAACCCUACAUCUGUUAUGACCCCAAGUCUCCACCUUAUGAAACAUGGUAUGAGGUCCAUGCUGGAAAAGUGGAAACAGGUGAUGGUGGCCUCUUAAACAAAACUAAGGUCUGUUCAAAUCAUAACGGGGCCAUUUCUUUGUAGUUUGAUGUAUGUCAAGCAACAUAUCUAGACCCAUCCACAACCUCAUUUGGAAGUCUAUCGUGGGAAAGAUAUCAUAGACACAGUCCUAUAUUCAUAUGUGCACCAUGGAAAGGGACCAGCCAUUAUUGAUGCCCCCGUUCCCAAUCAUGACAAGGCUCUGAAUGGUUCUGCUGGCUAUGUGUAACUUGGGCUACUAGCCUAUUUGGCCAAUAAUCUACACCUCCAACAUCAGGGCAAGAGGCUGCAACCCUUGCAAAAUUACCUACCAAACCAGAUUGUCAGUCAAGAACCUGUAAUGCUGUAAACUGCACCAUUCUACAGGUGGGCCAGCUUAAUGGGCUGCAGAUUACCCUAUGACAUUAAUGCUUGGCUAUAGAGGAUGAAGCCCAAAAACUUACAUAUAGUCAGAAAGACUAGGACUCAUUCAGCCCAACAACUCUGAAUGUCUGACUCGUUAUAUGAGCAUAUUCAACAAGACUUGGUUGAAAACAUAGCCCAAAACCUCAAUGUCUCCUCAUGUUAUGUCUGAGGGGGAACCGACAUGGGACACCAAUGGCCAUGGGAAGCAAGAGAAUUGAUACUAGAAGACAACUUCAUCCUACCCACGUAUUCCCCCAACCCCAUGUUCACCCACCCUAGCAUCUGGUAUUUAAAAACCUCUAUCAUGGGAAGGUUCUGCAUCGCUUGCUGGGGGAGGGCCUUCACAGAUCCAGUGGGAGAACUAACUUGCCUGGGGCAGUAAUACUAUAAUGAGACUCUAGGGAAAACUUUGUGGUGGGGAAAACAAAAUCGUUCUCAUUACCCCACUCCAAUUCAUUCUUUCUUUUCCCCUUCUUAAACCACUCUUGGGAUCAGUUAGAGGCCCCAAAUGACUGGAAGGCACCUUCUGGCCUCUAUUGGGUCUGUGGAUUUUGAGGAUACUGACAACUACCAGCUAAAUGGUCAGGGGCCUGUACACUGGGGACAGUUAGACCAUCCUUCUUUCUAAUCCCCUUAAAGCAGGGACAAACUCUAGGGUAUCCUGUCCAUGAAGAAGCUGGUAAGAAAAUUAAAAGGCCCAUUAAAAUAGAAGAUUAGAAAGAUGAUGAGUGGCCCCCAAAGGGAGUUAUCCAGUAUUAUGGCCCACCUGCCUGGGCAGAAGGUGGAAUGCGGGGAUACCACUUCCUAUUUACACACUUAACCGUAUCAUAAGAUUACAGGCCAUGCUUGAGCUCAUUAUCAGUGGGAUAUACUGCUUUGUACCUAAAGAAGUAUGUGCUGUUUAUUUAAAGUUAAUUUUAACUAAUCAUUCUGUGCUUUUCCCCAUUGGAUUUUAAAAUUUCAUUUCAUCUUUAAUUGACAAAUAGUUAUGUACAUUUAUGCAAUACAAUGAGAUGUUUUGGGAUAUAUAUACAUUCCAAUGAAAUCCUCCCAAUGAACAUAUAUGUUACAUGAACAUAUAUGUCACCAGGAAGAUGUUUUUUAUUUUUUAUGGUGAGAACAGUUAAACAAGACUAGUAAGUUUGAAACAUGCACUUAUUAUUAACUGUAGUCACCAUGCUACGUCAUAGAUCUUUAAACAUCAUUUUUAUUUACUAUAACUGGUUAUGCCAAUAUGGUUUCCAUUUGCUUUUUUUUUCUUCU
Chinchilla lanigera (long-tailed chinchilla) is the source of this 7968-nucleotide long non-coding RNA. RefSeq lists it as uncharacterized. NCBI's taxonomy places the organism in Eukaryota, Metazoa, Chordata, Mammalia, Rodentia, Chinchillidae. The transcript has 3 exons. The record is from RefSeq and is a predicted model, not a curated record.